Molecule: long non-coding RNA, 856 nt
Filed under: Dromaius novaehollandiae (emu)
Lineage: Eukaryota; Metazoa; Chordata; Aves; Casuariiformes; Dromaiidae
Description: lncRNA (ENSDNVG00000005657.1)
Source: RNAcentral
AGGGAGCCGGUGGGAUGGGCGGAGGGGAAGCUCGCGAGAUGUUGGCAACCCUCCUGGAGACGGUUGUGUGCAAGGGGCUCCGGGUGACCCUGCUGCAGCAGCGGGUUGGACUGGAUGGGCGGGUGGACGUCGCCUGCCGAGAUGCGAUUCUGGGGGGAGCCGUCUGAGCCAAGGCGUCCUGUUCACGGGCAGGUCCGGCGCGCGCCGUGCUCUGCCGGCUCUGCCAAGCCGGGCCGGAGCCACGCGGGUCGCUGGGGGAGGGUGCCCGGGACCGUCCCUGGGGCCCAGGCCAAGCCCGGGUCUGGUCCCUCUGCACCAGGCYGCAAGGAGAUCUCCGCGCGUGGGUUGCAGCACGGGGACGUGCUCUUCAACCGCUCCUUCCGCCAGCGGCACGGCGCCUGCGCCGCCACCGUCGUCCCCUGGCAGACGGCGGCCGAGGAGGUGGUGCACAGCUUCUACGGCGCCGGGGACCAGCUCGCCCGGCAGCACGGCCGCUUCCGGGGCCGCACGCGCUUCUUCCCCGAGGGGCUGCGGCGCGGCGAGGCCGUCCUGCGGCUGCACGACCUGCUGCUCGACGACGCGGGCAACUCCUCGGCCUGGGUGUUUUUCCAGGGGGACGAGGAGCCCGUUCACKGCAAGAUAUCGCUGUGGGUCUCAGGGCARGAACACGGCAGUGGCUGGCACUGGGGUAGCUGGAUGUCGGCUGUCUCCGUAGUCUUCCUCCUCCUCAUCGUACUUGGAUUGUGCUGUUGGUGUUUUCUCCGGAGGAGCAAAGGAGCCGCGCGGCGGUGCCGGGACGUCGUCCGGAGCAGGCUGCGGGGGAGGCACGACGCGGGCUCCCCUCUGACGGGGCCGC